AAUAUUAUAUUAAACGGAUCAAUUGAUAUUAUUCGUAUUUGGAUUAAUUUUGUAUGAUAUCCAAUUAAAUAACAGUCAUGUCCUUUGUGGCACUAACCUAAAAUAAAUAACGUUACAAUUAAUAGAUUGUUGGAAGAAACUUGUAUAAAUUUUGUUUUAUUUAAUUAUAUAAAAAAAUGUUGAGGAGAAGGCACGUUAACAUUAAAACUGUGAAAGAACUUGAUGCAUUUCCUAAAGUACCUGAACCAUAUGUAGAUAAAACUGCAGUUGGUGGGACUUUUUCUAUUUUUACAUUUUGUAUUAUAGCUUAUUUAAUAAUAGCAGAAACAAGUUAUUUCCUUGACAGUAGAUUACAAUUCAAAUUUGAACCAGAUACAGAUUUUGAUGCAAAAUUGAAAAUUAAUAUUGAUAUAACUGUGGCAAUGCCAUGUGGUCGUAUCGGAGCAGAUAUUUUAGAUUCUACGAAUCAGAAUUUAGUAGGUUUUGAUACUUUAGAAGAAGAAGAUACUUGGUGGGAGUUGAGUCCAGAGCAAAGAUCACAUUUUGAAGCUUUGAAAUAUAUGAAUUCAUAUUUAAGAGAAGAGUAUCAUGCGAUCCAUGAAUUACUUUGGAAAUCUAAUCAAAUUACAUUGCGCAGCGAAAUGCCAAAAAGAACUCACGAGCCAUCAUAUAUGCCAGAUGCAUGUCGUAUUCAUGGUAGUAUAAAUGCAAAUAAAGUAGCUGGAAAUUUUCACAUAACUGCUGGGAAAUCUUUACCUCUUCCGAGAGAUCACAUACAUAUUUCUGCAUUUAUGACUAGUAGAGAUUACAAUUUUACUCAUAGAAUUAAUAAGUUUUCUUUUGGAGGGCCUAGUCCUGGUAUUGUACAUCCUCUUGAAGGAGAUGAAAAAAUUGCUGACAAUAAUAUGUUGCUAUAUCAGUAUUUUGUGGAAGUAGUUCCCACUGAUAUAAGAACUUUGUUAAAUACAUUUAAAACAUAUCAAUAUAGCGUAAAAGAUCAUCAAAGACCUAUCGAUCAUUUAAAAGGAUCUCAUGGAAUACCUGGCAUAUUUUUUAAAUAUGAUAUGAGCGCUUUGAAAAUAAAAAUUACUCACCAACGUGAUACCAUAACACAAUUUUUAGUAAAAUUAUGUGCCACAGUUGGAGGUAUAUUUGUUACGAGUGGUUUGAUAAAAAAUAUUAUACAAAGUUUUUGGUAUAUCAUGUCUUGCAAAUUUUUCCAACAUGAGCCUGAUAUAAAUAAUCAAAGAGCAUCUGUUUACUCUAUCGCAAGAAAUUACGAAAGUCCGCAAACUAUAAAUUUACUUCAAGUUUCAGCACCCGAUAAUAUUGAUAUUAUGUUAAAACCUCAGAAGAACAGUUAUAUAAAUUGAUUUUAACCAUUGACGUUAACCAUUAACGUUAACCAUUAAUAUGCUGCAUUGAUUUUACAAUAAUUUUCGCUAGAUACCUAACAUAUUUGUUGAAUCUAGUAAAUAUUGUAAUAUAAUUAACACAUUCAAGACCAGUUCUACGUCAUUUCAAAAUAUGUAGCUCAAUGAACCACACCGAUCGUGAAUGUGUCAAAGUAUUAUUGUGCAUAAAGAAAAAUAUUUGAAAUAUAGAUCUAAUAUAAAUAA
RNAcentral lists this unclassified non-coding RNA (1619 nucleotides) under Polistes fuscatus (common paper wasp). Its description in RNAcentral is "endoplasmic reticulum-Golgi intermediate compartment protein 2, transcript variant X2". Lineage: Eukaryota; Metazoa; Arthropoda; Insecta; Hymenoptera; Vespidae. The record is from RNAcentral.